Molecule: non-coding RNA, 185 nt
Filed under: Paenibacillus oceani
Lineage: Bacteria; Bacillati; Bacillota; Bacilli; Caryophanales; Paenibacillaceae
Description: 6S / SsrS RNA
Rfam family: 6S / SsrS RNA
About the family: E. coli 6S RNA was the first non coding RNA to be sequenced, but its function was unknown until recently. It consists of 184 nucleotides that fold into an extended hairpin structure with a large single-stranded internal bulge.
Source: Rfam by way of RNAcentral
CAAAUCCUGCGAUGUACGUUUCGAUUUCCAACUUGUUUUGAACCAAUGAGUGUUUCUAGGGAGUCCUAUUAUCGUUCGUCCGGCUGACAUGCCCCCAAAAGGGGACUUCAAAAGGAUGGCUGCGGACACCCACCUGCGAGAGCGGGUUUGAAACAGGGGAAUCGGACGGCAUAUGCGGGUUUUUU